Molecule: long non-coding RNA, 537 nt
Organism: Medicago truncatula (barrel medic)
Lineage: Eukaryota; Viridiplantae; Streptophyta; Magnoliopsida; Fabales; Fabaceae
Exons: 2
Source: RefSeq, a predicted model, not a curated record
UCCAUUAUCAGGCCGUUAUCAAGUCACCAAUUAUAUACUCUUCUAUAUAUAUAAAAAUCAUAUCAAGUUCUAAGGAGCUAAAAAAAACAUUUUUGUUGUCUAGGCUUUAUUUGGCAGGACACUUCUUCUCAAUGAAAUUUUCAAAGUCUCAGUUAUGCAAAAGGUGGUCAAGGCAAUUAAGGGAGCAGAAAACAAGAUUUUAUAUCAUGUGGAGGUGUAUGGUCAUUCUUCUAAUGUGGCAACAGUGACCUUGAUGAUACUUAAAGAGUAAGAAAUCAAGAGUGACCGACAAAAUCAAGAUAACUUCCUAGUAUGUUUGGAAUCACGUUGAAGAAUCGCCUUCAAGAAUGUUUUGACUCUCUCUAACGUGUAGCUUCUUUAUGAGAUGCUACACACUUUAUUUUAGUGGUAGACAGACAGGUAUGAAAAUCAUGGCUCUAGUUUGAUUUCUCUUUUUGUUUUUGUUUAGACACUUGAGUCUAACUUGUAAUUGUGAAUUUUGUUUUAUUCAAUGAGAAAACUUAUGAUCAUUGUCAA